UACGUAGGGGGCAAGCGUUGUCCGGAUUCAUUGGGCGUAAAGAGCGUGUAGGCGGCCAGGUAGGUCGGUUGUGAAAACUGGAGGCUCAACCUUCAGAGGUCGACCGAAACCAUCUGGCUAGAGUCCGGAAGAGGAGAGUGGAAUUCCCGGUGUAGCGGUGAAAUGCGCAGAUAUCGGGAAGAACACCUAUGGCGAAGGCAGCUCUCUGGGACGGUACUGACGCUGAGACGCGAAAGCGUGGGGAGCGAACAGG
This 253-nucleotide ribosomal RNA is filed under the name uncultured bacterium. Its description in RNAcentral is "partial 16S ribosomal RNA". It matches the Rfam family "Bacterial small subunit ribosomal RNA", at positions 524 to 776 of the family's 1533-position model. The record is from RNAcentral.